AUUGAACGCUGGCGGCAGGCCUAACACAUGCAAGUCGAACGAGGGGCGGACGGGUGAGUAAUGUCUGGGAAACUGCCUGACGGAGGGGGAUAACUACGGGAAACGUUCGAUAAUACCGUAUACCAUAGGAUGGACCCCUCGGGUAUUAGCUAGUAGGUGGGGUAAAGGCUCACCUAGGCUACGAUCCCUAGCUGGUCUGAGAGGAUGCCCAGCCACACUGGAACUGAGACACGGUCCAGACUCCUACGGGAGGCAGCAGUGGGGAAUAUUGCACAAUGGGCGAAAGCCUGAUGCAGCCAUGCCGCGUGUAUGAAGAAGGCCUUCGGGUUGUAAAGUACUUUCAGCGGGGAGGCGUUACCCGCAGAAGAAGCACCGGCUAACUCCGUGCCAGCAGCCGCGGUAAUAC
RNAcentral lists this ribosomal RNA (406 nucleotides) under uncultured bacterium. Its description in RNAcentral is "partial 16S ribosomal RNA". It matches the Rfam family "Bacterial small subunit ribosomal RNA", at positions 30 to 526 of the family's 1533-position model. The record is from RNAcentral.